GCUCAGAUUGAACGCUGGCGGCAGGCCUAACACAUGCAAGUCGAGCGGAUGAAGGGAGCUUGCUCCUGGAUUCAGCGGCGGACGGGUGAGUAAUGCCUAGGAAUCUGCCUGGUAGUGGGGGAUAACGUUCCGAAAGGAACGCUAAUACCGCAUACGUCCUACGGGAGAAAGCAGGGGACCUUAGGGCCUUGCGCUAUCAGAUGAGCCUAGGUCGGAUUAGCUAGUUGGUGAGGUAAUGGCUCACCAAGGCGACGAUCCGUAACUGGUCUGAGAGGAUGAUCAGUCACACUGGAACUGAGACACGGUCCAGACUCCUACGGGAGGCAGCAGUGGGGAAUAUUGGACAAUGGGCGAAAGCCUGAUCCAGCCAUGCCGCGUGUGUGAAGAAGGUCUUCGGAUUGUAAAGCACUUUAAGUUGGGAGGAAGGGCUGUAGGCUAAUAUCCUGCGGUUUUGACGUUACCAACAGAAUAAGCACCGGCUAACUUCGUGCCAGCAGCCGCGGUAAUACGAAGGGUGCAAGCGUUAAUCGGAAUUACUGGGCGUAAAGCGCGCGUAGGUGGUUCGUUAAGUUGGAUGUGAAAGCCCCGGGCUCAACCUGGGAACUGCAUCCAAAACUGGCGAGCUAGAGUACGGUAGAGGGUAGUGGAAUUUCCUGUGUAGCGGUGAAAUGCGUAGAUAUAGGAAGGAACACCAGUGGCGAAGGCGACUACCUGGACUGAUACUGACACUGAGGUGCGAAAGCGUGGGGAGCAAACAGGAUUAGAUACCCUGGUAGUCCACGCCGUAAACGAUGUCAACUAGCCGUUGGAAUCCUUGAGAUUUUAGUGGCGCAGCUAACGCAUUAAGUUGACCGCCUGGGGAGUACGGCCGCAAGGUUAAAACUCAAAUGAAUUGA
RNAcentral lists this ribosomal RNA (896 nucleotides) under Pseudomonas sp. HG-15F. RNAcentral's name for it is "bacterial SSU rRNA". It matches the Rfam family "Bacterial small subunit ribosomal RNA", at positions 22 to 913 of the family's 1533-position model. The record is from RNAcentral. Lineage: Bacteria; Pseudomonadati; Pseudomonadota; Gammaproteobacteria; Pseudomonadales; Pseudomonadaceae.